GGCACUUUCUAUACAUAUCUGCAAACUCUAUCGGCAGGUACAUAAUGGAGGAGCAGCCUCGCUAUAGUUUAGUAUUUGAAGCAAAUUACAAGGGCAACGAAAGAAAAGAGAAUUACAUUGGCUCCGGCCAAAAAAUGAAAAGAAAUGCAGAAAAGAAUGUUGUCGUGAUCGUCAUAUGUAUUUGAGCCUCCUCCAUUAUAUCUUCAGUUCUGAAGGGGAUGAGGACCAGCAUUCUUGACAAGCCUUCGAGAUUCCCUGUGACAAUGGAGCUAAGGGCCAAGGCAGCGCCGCCGGGAGGGUGGUGGAUGCCGAUCAGACGUCGAGGGUUACUGCGGGCAUCUCGAACUCGGAGGUGAUCUCCUCGAUCUGCUUCCGGACGCUCAUGUCGAUGAGGCUGGACCCGUCGCGGCCGUACUGGAUGGUGAAGCCGGCGAUGAGCUCCGGGUCGAUGCGGGUCUUGACCCGGACGUUCUUCGCGCCGGUGAGAUUCUGCACCUGCUGCGCGAUCUGCGCGAGGUCCUGCGACUCGAGCUGCACGACGGAGG
Molecule: unclassified non-coding RNA, 545 nt
Filed under: Hevea brasiliensis (rubber tree)
Lineage: Eukaryota; Viridiplantae; Streptophyta; Magnoliopsida; Malpighiales; Euphorbiaceae
Source: RNAcentral